Molecule: transfer RNA, 64 nt
Filed under: Dorytomus tortrix
Lineage: Eukaryota; Metazoa; Arthropoda; Insecta; Coleoptera; Erirhinidae
Description: tRNA-Asn
Source: RNAcentral
UUAAUUGAAACCAAAAAGAGGUAUAUCACUGUUAAUGAUACUAUUGAGAUAAACUCCGAUUAAA